RNAcentral lists this ribosomal RNA (428 nucleotides) under uncultured bacterium. RNAcentral describes it as "bacterial SSU rRNA". It matches the Rfam family "Bacterial small subunit ribosomal RNA", at positions 355 to 775 of the family's 1533-position model. The record is from RNAcentral.
UGGGGAAUAUUGGGCAAUGGGCGAAAGCCUGACCCAGCCACGCCGCGUGAGUGAUGAAGGCCUUCGGGUCGUAAAGCUCUGUGGGGAGGGACGAACAAGCCUGGAGCUAACACCCCGGGUUCUGACGGUACCUCCUUAGCAAGCACCGGCUAACCCUGUGCCAGCAGCCGCGGUAAUACAGGGGGUGCAAACGUUGCUCGGAAUUAUUGGGCGUAAAGCGCGCGUAGGCGGCUACUUAUGUCGGAUGUGAAAGCCCUUGGCUCAACUGAGGAAGUGCACCCGAAACUGAGUAGCUGGAGUACGAAAGAGGGUCGCGGAAUUCCCGGUGUAGAGGUGAAAUUCGUAGAUAUCGGGAGGAACACCGGUGGCGAAGGCGGCGACCUGGGUCGAUACUGACGCUGAGGCGCGAAAGCGUGGGGAGCAAACAG